RNAcentral lists this ribosomal RNA (253 nucleotides) under uncultured bacterium. RNAcentral describes it as "partial 16S ribosomal RNA". It matches the Rfam family "Bacterial small subunit ribosomal RNA", at positions 524 to 776 of the family's 1533-position model. The record is from RNAcentral.
UACGUAGGGUGCGAGCGUUAAUCGGAAUUACUGGGCGUAAAGCGUGCGCAGGCGGUUUUGUAAGCCGGAUGUGAAAUCCCCGGGCUUAACCUGGGAAUGGCAUUCGGGACUGCAAGGCUGGAGUGCGGCAGAGGAGACUGGAAUUCCCGGUGUAGCGGUGAAAUGCGUAGAUAUCAAGAGGAACACCUGAGGUGAAGACGGGUUGCUGGGCUGACACUGACGCUGAGGCGCGAAAGCUAGGGUAGCAAACGGG